RNAcentral lists this ribosomal RNA (319 nucleotides) under uncultured Pseudomonadota bacterium. RNAcentral's name for it is "bacterial SSU rRNA". It matches the Rfam family "Bacterial small subunit ribosomal RNA", at positions 30 to 351 of the family's 1533-position model. The record is from RNAcentral. Lineage: Bacteria; Pseudomonadati; Pseudomonadota.
AUUGAACGCUGGCGGAAUGCUUUACACAUGCAAGUCGAACGGCAGCACGGGGCAACCUGGUGGCGAGUGGCGAACGGGUGAGUAAUAUAUCGGAACGUGCCCAAUCGUGGGGGAUAACGUAGCGAAAGUUACGCUAAUACCGCAUACGCCCUGAGGGGGAAAGCGGGGGAUCGUAAGACCUCGCGUUAAUGGAGCGGCCGAUGCCGGAUUAGCUAGUUGGUGAGGUAAAGGCUCACCAAGGCGACGAUCCGUAGCUGGUCUGAGAGGACGACCAGCCACACUGGAACUGAGACACGGUCCAGACUCCUACGGGAGGCAG